This 280-nucleotide unclassified non-coding RNA is filed under the name Hevea brasiliensis (rubber tree). The record is from RNAcentral. Lineage: Eukaryota; Viridiplantae; Streptophyta; Magnoliopsida; Malpighiales; Euphorbiaceae.
GAGCUUUCCUCUUUCUUUCAGGCAUAUUAGUUGAAUCUCUCCUCCUCGAAAUAUGCCCAAAAAUAAAUAGACAGAUGACAGAUCGGAGCUUGCGGAGUGGUCGAUCGGAGAUGGAGAACAGACGGUACCGUUUCAGAUAAAGAUCGGAAGUCUUCUUUUCUUCCUCUCUCACUUUUCUUUCUUUUGCUAACGUGCACCGUUUCCCUCUUUUGCUAACGUGCACCGUUUCCCAGGGGGUCAAGAUGCGCUUACAUAUUUGUAGCUUAAGAGUACGGAGCAC